This 425-nucleotide ribosomal RNA is filed under the name uncultured organism. RNAcentral describes it as "bacterial SSU rRNA". It matches the Rfam family "Bacterial small subunit ribosomal RNA", at positions 355 to 775 of the family's 1533-position model. The record is from RNAcentral.
UCGAGAAUCUUCUGCAAUGGGCGAAAGCCUGACAGAGCGACGCCGCGUGCGGGAUGAAGGCCUUCGGGUUGUAAACCGCUGUCAGUGGGGAGCAAAUUACUAGGGGUUCUCCCCUGGUAUUGAGCGAUCCGCAGAGGAAGCAGAGGCUAAGUUCGUGCCAGCAGCCGCGGUAAGACGAACUCUGCAAACGUUAUUCGGAAUUACUGGGCUUAAAGAGUCCGUAGGCGGCGCGUUAGGUGGGGUGUGAAAUCCCUCGGCCCAACCGAGGAAUUGCGCUCCAAACCGGCGUGCUUGAGGAAGGUAGAGGUGAGCGGAACUGAUGGUGGAGCGGUGAAAUGCGUUGAUAUCAUCAGGAACACCGGAGGCGAAGGCGGCUCACUGGGCCUUUUCUGACGCUGAGGGACGAAAGCUAGGGUAGCGAACGG